RNAcentral lists this long non-coding RNA (258 nucleotides) under Capsella grandiflora. Its description in RNAcentral is "long non-coding RNA (CGRA_LNC000517)". Lineage: Eukaryota; Viridiplantae; Streptophyta; Magnoliopsida; Brassicales; Brassicaceae. The record is from RNAcentral.
AGAGAUUGACGGCGAAAGCGGAGUCCUCGCUGUCAUGAACCUCAUACAUGCCAUCCCCGAUCUUAAUAACCAAAAAACCCGAGCCCUUCUCAUAGUUCUCAAUAACCAUGUCAUUCACCUUAGGUGGUAAGAUGUUAUCCUCAACCCUAGCUGCUUCUCUGCGUAGAGCGAACCAUGUCACUAAGGUUGUACGAAUUGUCUCCAAAAUAGAGAUCACCGGGUAGUCCCGAGCCAUAGUAAGGACGUUAUUCAAGGNNN